RNAcentral lists this transfer RNA (71 nucleotides) under Phrynosoma platyrhinos (Desert horned lizard). RNAcentral describes it as "tRNA-OTHER". The record is from RNAcentral. Lineage: Eukaryota; Metazoa; Chordata; Lepidosauria; Squamata; Phrynosomatidae.
GCCAGCAUGGUUUAGUGGUUUGAGUGCUGGAUUAGGACUCUGGAGACCAGGGUUCGAAUCCCCACUUGGCC